GGACGAACGCUGGCGGCGUGCCUAAUACAUGCAAGUUGAGCGAUGAAGAUUGGUGCUUGCACCAAUUUGAAGAGCAGCGAACGGGUGAGUAACGCGUGGGGAAUCUGCCUUUGAGCGGGGGACAACAUUUGGAAACGAAUGCUAAUACCGCAUAACAACUUUAAACAUAAGUUUUAAGUUUGAAAGAUGCAAUUGCAUCACUCAAAGAUGAUCCCGCGUUGUAUUAGCUAGUUGGUGAGGUAAAGGCUCACCAAGGCGAUGAUACAUAGCCGACCUGAGAGGGUGAUCGGCCACAUUGGGACUGAGACACGGCCCAAACUCCUACGGGAGGCAGCAGUAGGGAAGCUUCGGCAAUGGACGAAAGUCUGACCGAGCAACGCCGCGUGAGUGAAGAAGGGUUUCGGAUCGUAAAACUCUGUUGGUAGAGAAGAACGUUGGUGAGAGUGGAAAGCUCAUCAAGUGACGGUAACUACCCAGAAAGGGACGGCUAACUACGUG
This 498-nucleotide ribosomal RNA is filed under the name uncultured bacterium. RNAcentral's name for it is "partial 16S ribosomal RNA". It matches the Rfam family "Bacterial small subunit ribosomal RNA", at positions 27 to 507 of the family's 1533-position model. The record is from RNAcentral.